Small nuclear RNA from Antechinus flavipes (yellow-footed antechinus), 104 nucleotides. Lineage: Eukaryota; Metazoa; Chordata; Mammalia; Dasyuromorphia; Dasyuridae. The record is from RefSeq and is a predicted model, not a curated record.
AUAUGUGGUUUGGUAGUAUGUAUACUAAAAUUGGAACAAUAUAAAGAUUAGGAAGGCCUCUGCAGAAAGAUAACAGUGAAAUUCAUAAGAUGCUCAUAUUUUAG